UGAUUGUUUCAAAACAGAAAAGGAGAAAGCCAAAGGGAUUUUUAUUUUGUGUUGACAAUGAGCAGACACAAGCAGAUAAUGUCUGAACUGGGACAUGAGCUCAUCUAUCUGUUAGGUUUGACUCAUCAGGACUUUGCCUCACACAACAUUUCAAAACAUGAAUCACACUUUGGAACCAUCAUCCCUCAGAUAUCCUCCUAUUCUGCAUCCAAGGCUGACAGGUCUGGAUUAAAACAUUUCUCAAGGACAAAAACAUUUUUAGAUAAUACCCACGUCUCUUUAGGACUGAUAACAUUGCAGAUCAAAUGUGUCUUGGUGACAGCUUGUCCUUGAAGCCUACAUUUAUGGUAUUGGUUGACUUAGUGGAGAGGACAGAAUUGUAUCAGAAUUAAACAAAAAUGUAUAAUUUCAGAGUUAGAAUGUAAGGUCCACACUCUACGCUCAAAAAACAUGUUUGAGCAAGUGAACUUCACAACUCAAUUCCAAAUGAAACCCUAGACUCAACACCAUACAAACUUGCAGAUAUCUGUAAGGUUUUAUCCUAUAAUCAAUAUGGUGUGACCUAUUAGUUCUAGUUAUAUACAAAUUUGGCCCUGUGGCUAGAGAAAGUUUCACUAUAUACCUGAUAAGAGAAGCAGAAUAAAAGGUCUAAAGUUGAGAACCACUGCUGUAGGGCACAGGGUCUAGUGUUCCCUUUACAUCACUUAGAAAACCUGUUGGGGGAGUUUGUCAAACAUAAACAUAUAGAUGACCUGUUUUUGCAUGUUGUAAAUGAGGUGGAUUGGGGGCUCUGGUGGAAGGGGGCAAAGGUGCUGAGCCAUGGUACCAACAGUAGUGCAGGGGGGCUGAGCCAUGGUACCAACAAUAGUGCAGGGGUGUCAGUAUUUUUCUCCCUUGGUCUGGGCGUCAAUAUUAAGUUGUCAAAGGAAGUGUGUGGCGGCAGGUUGUUGGUUGUAAAGGCAGAGAUUGAGAAUGUGCUGUUUGUUUUUAAUAAAUGUGUAUGCACCUAGUACAGGGCGGGAGUGGGGAGUGUUUUUUGGGUGCUAACGCAAAGAGCUGGCACUGAUAGAACAGGCUGAGGUGCUGGUUUUAGGGGGGGGUUGGAACUGCAUGAUUGAUUUUACCAGGGACCGGAAUGGUGAGGAGCCACAUCCAGUCUCUGCAGGGGUGCUGAAUUAUGUAUUGAUUCAGUAUGACUUGGUGGAUGUUUGGGCAACUCUGCAUCCAACCACCAGACAGUAUACCUGGGUGAAGGUAGUCGGGGGGAGGGUUUGUAUAUACCUGGGUGAAGGUAGUCGGGGGAGGGUUAGUAUAUACCUGGGUGAAGGUAGUCGGGGGGAGGGUUUGUAUAUACCUGGGUGAAGGUAGUCGGGGGGAGGGUUAGUAUAUACCUGGGUGAAGGUAGUCGGGGGGAGGGUUAGUAUAUACCUGGGUGAAGGUAGUCGGGGGGAGGGUUAGUAUAUACCUGGGUGAAGGUAGUCGGGGGGAGGGUUAGUAUAUACCUGGGUGAAGGUAGUUGGGGGGAGGGUUUGUAUAUACCUGGGUGAAGGUAGUUGGGGGGAGGGUUAGUGCCUCUUGCCUGGAUCGUGUUUAUAUGUUCAGGCACCAGAACAAUAGGCUGGUGUCGGCCUCCAUACUCCCAGUUAGGUUUAUCAUAUUACCAGGUCUCAGCUCUCUGUUACACCGGGGCUCCGGCAUGCGUCCUACUGGAAAUGUAAUGUAAAGCCCUUACUAGAUGCUGCUUUUUGCUCUUGUUUUAUUAAAUUUUGGGGGUGUUGGGUGCAGCGGAAGGAUGAUUAUGAGUCUCUUAGUCUGUGGUGGGAUGUUGGGAGGACACAGAUUUGGCUUUUUUGUCAACAAUUUACGUCUUUUUCCUCAGCUGAAUCUAGGAGAGUGUUGGGGAAACUUGAACAGAACUUAAGUGAGACGGAGGCUGAGUUGCUCGGGCAAAACGGGGGGGGCUGGUUUCGAACCUGCCUGAAUUGCGUAGGGAUCUGGGUGCAUUUCUUGAGUUGAAAGCAAAGGGGGCACUUGUAAGAGCUAGGUUUUCUAUUUUGAAUGAGAUGGAUGCUCCCAGCUCCUCCUUUUUUGGCUUGGAAACACAGAGUGGAGAAAGGAAGCGUAUGCACUGUUUACGUAUGGCUGAUGGUCGGGUUUCUUCUGUUGUGGGGGAGAUGGGCGAGGUCUUCUGUUGUGGGGGAGAUGGGCGAGGUCUUCUGUUGUGGGGGAGAUGGGCGAGGUCUUCUGUUGUGGGGGAGAUGGGCGAGGUCUUCUGUUGUGGGGGAGAUGGGCGAGGUCUUCUGUUGUGGGAGAGAUGGGCGAGGUCUUCUGUUGUGGGGGAGAUGCAGGAGCGAGCUGUGGAGUUCUAUUCUGAUUUAUAUAGGGCUGAAAAGGUCACACUAUCACAGACAAUCUGUUUUUGAUCAGGGAUAUGUUGGAUUUGUCAGGGUCUUCGAAGACUGGUUUCUUUGGACCAGGAAAAGGCGUUUGACAGGGUGGAUCAUAUAUAUUUGUUUAGGGGGUUGUCUGCUUUUGGGAGUGGGGAGCGGUUUUUGUCCUGGGUUAAAAUGUUGUAUGCUGGGGCUUCUUGUCUGGUGAAGGUGGGAGGGGGGCUCAGUAGGCCUGUCCGGUGGGGAGGGGCAUACGUCAGGGUUGUCCUCUAUCUGGGCAGUUCUACACCCUUGCUAUUGAGCCCUUUUUGGGUCUGUUAUGCAGGAAACUGUCUCAGUCCUGUUGAAGGACCAGGAUGUCCUGGCGUUGGAGUCGUGUUUAAGGGUGUAUGAGGGGGAAUCAUCUGCCAGGUUGAACUGGGGUAAGAGUGGAGCAUUGCUGUGUGGGGCAUGGGGGGACAGGGUACCUCCUGGGCUUCCUGGGGGGUUGAACUGGGGUAAGAGUGGGGCAUUGCUGUGUGGGGCAUGGGGGGACAGGGUACCUCCUGGGCUUCCUGGGGGGUUGAACUGGGGUAAGAGUGGGGCAUUGCUGUGUGGGGCAUGGG
Long non-coding RNA from Esox lucius (northern pike), 2995 nucleotides. The record is from Ensembl. NCBI's taxonomy places the organism in Eukaryota, Metazoa, Chordata, Actinopteri, Esociformes, Esocidae.